GCCGGAGUAGCUCAGCUAGCAGAGCGGCGCACUUGUAAUGCGCAGGUCGCGGGGGCGGAACCCGCCUCCGGCU
RNAcentral lists this transfer RNA (73 nucleotides) under Phycisphaerae bacterium. RNAcentral describes it as "tRNA-Thr". It matches the Rfam family "tRNA". From Rfam's summary of the family: Transfer RNA (tRNA) molecules are approximately 80 nucleotides in length. Their secondary structure includes four short double-helical elements and three loops (D, anti-codon, and T loops). Lineage: Bacteria; Pseudomonadati; Planctomycetota; Phycisphaerae. The record is from RNAcentral.